Molecule: non-coding RNA, 70 nt
Filed under: Pseudomonas azotoformans
Lineage: Bacteria; Pseudomonadati; Pseudomonadota; Gammaproteobacteria; Pseudomonadales; Pseudomonadaceae
Also listed under: 13 other names
Source: RNAcentral
AUGCGAAACCACCCGGCUUGCCGGGUUGGUCUGCCGGACGUGGUGGUCCGGUACUGAUGAGCAGCCGAGG